ACGAACGCUGGCGGCGUGCUUAACACAUGCAAGUCGUACGGUAAGGCCCUUUCGGGGGUACACUAGUGGCGAACGGGUGAGUAACACGUGAGUAACCUGCCCACAACUUUGGGAUAACGCUAGUAAACUGGUGCUAAUACUGGAUAUGUGCUCCUGCUGCAUGGUGGGGGUUGGAAAGCUCCGGCGGUUGUGGAUGGACUCGCGGCCUAUCAGCUUGUUGGUGGGGUAGUGGCCUACCAAGGCGGCGACGGGUAGCCGGCCUGAGAGGGUGAACGGCCACAUUGGGAAUGAGAUACGGCCCAGACUCCUACGGGGGGCAGCAGGGGGGAAUAUUGCAAAAUGGGCGCAAGCCUGAUGCAGCAACGCCGCGUGCGGGAUGACGGCCUUCGGGUUGUAAACCGCUUUCAGCAGGGAAGAAGCUUUUUGUGACGGUACCUGCAGAAGAAGCACCGGCUAACUACGUG
Molecule: ribosomal RNA, 464 nt
Filed under: uncultured bacterium
Lineage: Bacteria
Description: partial 16S ribosomal RNA
Rfam family: Bacterial small subunit ribosomal RNA
Source: RNAcentral